Molecule: long non-coding RNA, 263 nt
Filed under: Brassica napus (rape)
Lineage: Eukaryota; Viridiplantae; Streptophyta; Magnoliopsida; Brassicales; Brassicaceae
Description: long non-coding RNA (BNAP_LNC005717)
Source: RNAcentral
UUCAUUUCUCUCUCUUAUCCAUGCGAAAUCUUAGCUCUCAAUCGGUUCUCUUUCUCCUUUCCGGUGAGCGAUGUUACAACCACCGUCGACGUAACCAGUACACUCUAAGGUCCCAAUUUGGCUGGUGCUAGACACCACUUGGUUGGAAUCUUCAUAAUAAAAAUAUGGAGCUUUUGUUGUCAAAACAAUAGUGGAUAAUUUGAAGAUCAUCGGUGCCAGAAAUUCUAUAUCAGUGGUGGCGGGUAAAUGCAAUUUAAUUGAAC